AUUGAACGCUGGCGGCAGGCCUAACACAUGCAAGUCGAGCGGAUGAAGGGAGCUUGCUCCUGGAUUCAGCGGCGGACGGGUGAGUAAUGCCUAGGAAUCUGCCUGGUAGUGGGUGAUAACGUCCGGAAACGGGCGCUAAUACCGCAUACGUCCUGAGGGAGAAAGUGGGGGAUCUUCGGACCUCACGCUAUCAGAUGAGCCUAGGUCGGAUUAGCUAGUUGGUGGGGUAAAGGCCUACCAAGGCGACGAUCCGUAACUGGUCUGAGAGGAUGAUCAGUCACACUGGAACUGAGACACGGUCCAGACUCCUACGGGAGGCAGCAGUGGGGAAUAUUGGACAAUGGGCGAAAGCCUGAUCCAGCCAUGCCGCGUGUGUGAAGAAGGUCUUCGGAUUGUAAAGCACUUUAAGUUGGGAGGAAGGGCAGUAAGUUAAUACCUUGCUGUUUUGACGUUACCAACAGAAUAAGCACCGGCUAACUUCGU
Molecule: ribosomal RNA, 483 nt
Filed under: uncultured bacterium
Lineage: Bacteria
Description: partial 16S ribosomal RNA
Rfam family: Bacterial small subunit ribosomal RNA
Source: RNAcentral